Molecule: unclassified non-coding RNA, 335 nt
Filed under: soil metagenome
Description: partial contains 5.8S ribosomal RNA, internal transcribed spacer 2, and large subunit ribosomal RNA
Rfam family: 5.8S ribosomal RNA (bases 1-120)
Source: RNAcentral
GAUGAAGAACGCAGCGAAAUGCGAUAAGUAAUGUGAAUUGCAGAAUUCAGUGAAUCAUCGAAUCUUUGAACGCACAUUGCGCCCGCCAGUAUUCUGGCGGGCAUGCCUGUUCGAGCGUCAUUUCAACCAUCAAGCCCCCGGCUUGUGUUGGGGACCUGCGGCUGCCGCAGGCCCUGAAAACCAGUGGCGGGCUCGCUAGUCACUCCGAGCGUAGUAAUACAUCUUGCUCAGGGCGUGCUGCGGGUUCCGGCCGUUAAAAAGCCUUAUUUACCCAAGGUUGACCUCGGAUCAGGUAGGAAGACCCGCUGAACUUAAGCAUAUCAAUAAGCGGAGGA